Frieseomelitta varia is the source of this 1166-nucleotide long non-coding RNA. RefSeq lists it as uncharacterized. Lineage: Eukaryota; Metazoa; Arthropoda; Insecta; Hymenoptera; Apidae. The record is from RefSeq and is a predicted model, not a curated record. The transcript has 4 exons.
UCGCGGAUGGCCGUGACAGGGUCUAUUUUUAGCCACGGCGAGAUAAGCGCGGCGGGGAGAGAACGGCUGAAAGGAGAGAGACCGGGAAUGAGACAGAAAGUGAGGGGAAUGCCGUGGAUGAGACAGAGACGAGCAGAUAGGACCAAGAGUGGGACAGCCAGUAGCGUAACCGGAUGGCAUUUUAGUAGGCACUUGGAAAAAACACCUGUUUAAUUAACUCUCUGCCCGCGCGGUGAUCGACGAAACUGAACAACCAAAAACUACUGUAUUGCUUGACGAUUGUGCCUUCAACAACCGGUUGCAUCUAUCUGUUGCACGUGUAAGGAGUGCAGACAGACGCGAGUAACAUAUGGAAACGUUAACCGAUUAAACAGCGAGUCGUGGAAAUGCUAGUUACAUACUAGAGAAUCCGUGACAACAGCCAGUUUGGUCGUAGAUGAAAGAUUGCCAAGCGUUCGCUCGUAUGCACAUGCAUAUAUAUAUAUAUAUAUAUAUAUAUCUUCAGGCGACAAAACGCUUCCACACCGGAGUUACAAUUUUCGAUUCUUAUCCAUGCAAAUUGCUGGAACAUUCGGUUCGACGCGGUACGUAUUUCACGCUCCAAUUAUACAACUGUCGUUAUCGAAACCUAAAACUGCUAAUCUUCGAAACUGAUUCAAUUACGUCACUGCGACAGGGGAACGACGGAGUAUCGUUGGAAUGGAAACGACACCAAAGCCGUGAGAGGGGCGUCGAGGGGAGACGAAAGAGCCAGAGGGAAAGAGAGAAAGAGACGGAAUCAAAGAACUAAUUAUACGUGACGUCACUCGACUGGUUUCAACACAGAGAGUCGAGUGCAACAAGUCGAGACUCGACGAGUCAAGUGGGCCAGAAAAAUGAGGUGGGAGGUGGUAAAAAUAGAACUCCCGAACUUUAUGGACGGUAAAUCACAGUGGUCUCUCGCUAGGCCCGUUGCCAUUGCCAACGUCCCGUUCGACUUGGACUGACCAGCUCAUUAACCGUAAUAUAACCAACGGUGACGAAUAGGAAAUUCAAUGGCUAUCUUAUAUUGGACAGAGGGAAGACAGUUCAUGGAACGAAUUAUACACACAUAUAUGUAUAUUAUAUAUCAUAAAAGUAGUGUUAUAAUUAUGAAAGUAGAAACUAAGAAACUUUGACUUUAUCAC